RNAcentral lists this ribosomal RNA (298 nucleotides) under uncultured bacterium. Its description in RNAcentral is "partial 16S ribosomal RNA". The record is from RNAcentral.
CUGCUGCCUCCCGUAGGAGUUUGGGCCGUGUCUCAGUACCAAUGUGGGGGGUUGACCUCUCAGUCCCCCUAUGUAUCGUCGCCUUGGUGAGCCGUUACCUCACCAACUAGCUAAUACAACGCAUGUCCAUCUCUGACCACCUGAGUUUUCAACCACCGAAGAUGCCUCCGGUGAUGUUAUGGGGUAUUAGUACCAAUUUCCUCGUAGUUAGUUUAACCCUUCCCCCGUUGUAACGUAAAAGGGUUACGGUUAACAUACGUCGUUACGCCUACCCGUCCCGGUCCCGGUCCGGCCCGGA